RNAcentral lists this ribosomal RNA (523 nucleotides) under uncultured bacterium. RNAcentral describes it as "bacterial SSU rRNA". It matches the Rfam family "Bacterial small subunit ribosomal RNA", at positions 8 to 518 of the family's 1533-position model. The record is from RNAcentral.
AGGGUUCGAUUCUGGCUCAGGAUGAACGCUAGCUACAGGCUUAACACAUGCAAGUCGAGGGGCAGCAUGAUCGAAGCUUGCUUUGAUUGAUGGCGACCGGCGCACGGGUGAGUAACGCGUAUCCAACCUUCCCUAUAGUAGAGGAUAGCCCGGCGAAAGUCGGAUUAAUACUCUAUGUUUUCCGAAGCAGACAUCUAAUUUGGAACAAAGGUUCACCGCUAUAGGAUGGGGAUGCGUCUGAUUAGGUAGCAGGCGGGGUAACGGCCCACCUAGCCGACGAUCAGUAGGGGUUCUGAGAGGAAGGUCCCCCACAUUGAAACUGAGACACGGUCCAAACUCCUACGGGAGGCAGCAGUGAGGAAUAUUGGUCAAUGGGCGAGAGCCUGAACCAGCCAAAAGUAGCGUGCAGGAUGACGGCCCUAUGGGUUGUAAACUGCUUUUAUACGGGGAUAAAGUGAGGGACGUGUCCCUUUUUGUAGGUACCGUAUGAAUAAGGACCGGCUAAUUCCGUGCCAGCCGCCGC